GGUCAACUGGUGUAGUGGUUAUCACGUCUGUCUUACAUUCGCGUCGCAUGGUGCUAUGUGAGGACACAGAAGGUCGCAGGUUCGAUCCCUGCGUUGAUCA
RNAcentral lists this transfer RNA (100 nucleotides) under Hypomontagnella monticulosa. RNAcentral's name for it is "tRNA-Val". It matches the Rfam family "tRNA". From Rfam's summary of the family: Transfer RNA (tRNA) molecules are approximately 80 nucleotides in length. Lineage: Eukaryota; Fungi; Ascomycota; Sordariomycetes; Xylariales; Hypoxylaceae. The record is from RNAcentral.